UUGAAUGUAGGGCGCGUAUCG
Molecule: non-coding RNA, 21 nt
Filed under: Arabidopsis thaliana (thale cress)
Lineage: Eukaryota; Viridiplantae; Streptophyta; Magnoliopsida; Brassicales; Brassicaceae
Source: RNAcentral